This 253-nucleotide ribosomal RNA is filed under the name uncultured bacterium. Its description in RNAcentral is "partial 16S ribosomal RNA". It matches the Rfam family "Bacterial small subunit ribosomal RNA", at positions 524 to 776 of the family's 1533-position model. The record is from RNAcentral.
UACGUAGGUGGCAAGCGUUAUCCGGAUUUAUUGGGCGUAAAGGGAACGCAGGCGGUCUUUUAAGUCUGAUGUGAAAGCCUUCGGCUUAACCGGAGUAGUGCAUUGGAAACUGGGAGACUUGAGUGCAGAAGAGGAGAGUGGAACUCCAUGUGUAGCGGUGAAAUGCGUAGAUAUAUGGAAGAACACCAGUGGCGAAAGCGGCUCUCUGGUCUGUAACUGACGCUGAGGUUCGAAAGCGUGGGUAGCAAACGGG